CAAUGCGAGCAAUCGUGAUAAGGGAACUCCGAGUGCCCGUAAAAUCGGGCUGUCCGCCAGUGUAAAUAACUGGUGAAGAAAGGGCCGGGCAAGACCGGUGCCAGCCGCCGCGGUAAUACCGGCGGCUCGAGUGGUGGCCACUAUUACUGGGCUUAAAGCGUUCGUAGCUGGUCUGUUAAGUCUCUGGGGAAAUCUUCCGGCUUAACCGGAAGGCGUCUCAGGGAUACUGACAGACUAGGGACCGGAAGAGGUGAGAGGUACUCCAGGGGUAGGAGUGAAAUCCUGUAAUCCUUGGGGGACCACCUGUGG
RNAcentral lists this ribosomal RNA (309 nucleotides) under uncultured Methanobacterium sp. RNAcentral's name for it is "bacterial SSU rRNA". It matches the Rfam family "Archaeal small subunit ribosomal RNA", at positions 353 to 666 of the family's 1478-position model. Lineage: Archaea; Methanobacteriati; Methanobacteriota; Methanobacteria; Methanobacteriales; Methanobacteriaceae. The record is from RNAcentral.